This 83-nucleotide transfer RNA is filed under the name Drosera peltata. RNAcentral describes it as "tRNA-Ser". It matches the Rfam family "tRNA". Rfam says of the family: Transfer RNA (tRNA) molecules are approximately 80 nucleotides in length. Their secondary structure includes four short double-helical elements and three loops (D, anti-codon, and T loops). Lineage: Eukaryota; Viridiplantae; Streptophyta; Magnoliopsida; Caryophyllales; Droseraceae. RNAcentral also lists the same sequence under 1 other name. The record is from RNAcentral.
GGAGAGAUGGCUGAGUGGACGAAGGCGACGGAUUGCUAAUUCGUUGUACAGUUGUACCGAGGGUUCGAAUCCCUCUCUUUCCG